AGUGAACCAGUACCGUGAGGGAAAGGCGAAAAGAACCCCGGCGAGGGGAGUGAAAAAGAACCUGAAACCGUGUACGUACAAGCAGUGGGAGCCUCUUAAUGGGGUGACUGCGUACCUUUUGUAUAAUGGGUCAGCGACUUAUAUUCUGUAGCAAGGUUAACCGAAUAGGGGAGCCGAAGGGAAACCGAGUCUUAACUGGGCGUUAAGUUGCAGGGUAUAGACCCGAAACCCGGUGAUCUAGCCAUGGGCAGGUUGAAGGUUGGGUAACACUAACUGGAGGACCGAACCGACUAAUGUUGAAAAAUUAGCGGAUGACUUGUGGCUGGGGGUGAAAGGCCAAUCAAACCGGGAGAUAGCUGGUUCUCCCCGAAAGCUAUUUAGGUAGCGCCUCGUGAAUUCAUCUCCGGGGGUAGAGCACUGUUUCGGCAAGGGGGUCAUCCCGACUUACCAACCCGAUGCAAACUGCGAAUACCGGAGAAUGUUAUCACGGGAGACACACGGCGGGUGCUAACGUCCGUCGUGAAGAGGGAAACAACCCAGACCGCCAGCUAAGGUCCCAAAGUCAUGGUUAAGUGGGAAACGAUGUGGGAAGGCCCAGACAGCCAGGAUGUUGGCUUAGAAGCAGCCAUCAUUUAAAGAAAGCGUAAUAGCUCACUGGUCGAGUCGGCCUGCGCGGAAGAUGUAACGGGGCUAAACCAUGCACCGAAGCUGCGGCAGCGACACUAUGUGUUGUUGGGUAGGGGAGCGUUCUGUAAGCCUGUGAAGGUGUACUGUGAGGUAUGCUGGAGGUAUCAGAAGUGCGAAUGCUGACAUAAGUAACGAUAAAGCGGGUGAAAAGCCCGCUCGCCGGAAGACCAAGGGUUCCUGUCCAACGUUAAUCGGGGCAGGGUGAGUCGACCCCUAAGGCGAGGCCGAAAGGCGUAGUCGAUGGGAAACAGGUUAAUAUUCCUGUACUUGGUGUUACUGCGAAGGGGGGACGGAGAAGGCUAUGUUGGCCGGGCGACGGUUGUCCCGGUUUAAGCGUGUAGGCUGGUUUUCCAGGCAAAUCCGGAAAAUCAAGGCUGAGGCGUGAUGACGAGGCACUACGGUGCUGAAGCGACAAAUGCCCUGCUUCCAGGAAAAGCCUCUAAGCAUCAGGUAACAUCAAAUCGUACCCCAAACCGACACAGGUGGUCAGGUAGAGAAUACCAAGGCGCUUGAGAGAACUCGGGUGAAGGAACUAGGCAAAAUGGUGCCGUAACUUCGGGAGAAGGCACGCUGAUAUGUAGGUGAAGCGACUUGCUCGUGGAGCUGAAAUCAGUCGAAGAUACCAGCUGGCUGCAACUGUUUAUUAAAAACACAGCACUGUGCAAACACGAAAGUGGACGUAUACGGUGUGACGCCUGCCCGGUGCCGGAAGGUUAAUUGAUGGGGUUAGCGGUAACGCGAAGCUCUUGAUCGAAGCCCCGGUAAACGGCGGCCGUAACUAUAACGGUCCUAAGGUAGCGAAAUUCCUUGUCGGGUAAGUUCCGACCUGCACGAAUGGCGUAAUGAUGGCCAGGCUGUCUCCACCCGAGACUCAGUGAAAUUGAACUCGCUGUGAAGAUGCAGUGUACCCGCGGCAAGACGGAAAGACCCCGUGAACCUUUACUAUAGCUUGACACUGAACAUUGAGCCUUGAUGUGUAGGAUAGGUGGGAGGCUUUGAAGUGUGGACGCCAGUCUGCAUGGAGCCGACCUUGAAAUACCACCCUU
This 1733-nucleotide ribosomal RNA is filed under the name human gut metagenome. Its description in RNAcentral is "bacterial LSU rRNA". It matches the Rfam family "Bacterial large subunit ribosomal RNA", at positions 489 to 2207 of the family's 2925-position model. The record is from RNAcentral.